This 409-nucleotide ribosomal RNA is filed under the name uncultured Methanosaeta sp. RNAcentral's name for it is "bacterial SSU rRNA". It matches the Rfam family "Archaeal small subunit ribosomal RNA", at positions 922 to 1338 of the family's 1478-position model. The record is from RNAcentral. Lineage: Archaea; Methanobacteriati; Methanobacteriota; Methanomicrobia; Methanotrichales; Methanotrichaceae.
GACCGGGGCGACAGCAAUAUGAAGGUCAGGCUGAAGACUUACCCGAUUAGCUGAGAGGUGGUGCAUGGCCGUCGUCAGUUCGUACUGUGAAGCAUCCUGUUAAGUCAGGCAACGAGCGAGACCCACGUCCACAGUUGCCAGCAUACCCUCCGGGGUGAUGGGUACACUGUGGAGACCGCCGCUGCUAAAGCGGAGGAAGGAGUGGGCAACGGUAGGUCAGUAUGCCCCGAAUCUCCCGGGCUACACGCGGGCUACAAUGGUUGGUACAAUGGGCAUCUACCCCGAAAGGGGAAGGAAAUCUCUUAAAGCCAAUCGUAGUUCGGAUUGAGGGCUGCAACUCGCCCUCAUGAAGCUGGAAUCCGUAGUAAUCGCGUUUCAACAGAACGCGGUGAAUACGUCCCUGCUCCUU